GAGUUUGAUCCUGGCUCAGGAUGAACGCUGGCGGCGUGCUUAACACAUGCAAGUCGAACGGAGUACCCUUGAAGGAGUUUUCGGACAACUGAAAGGACUACUUAGUGGCGGACGGGUGAGUAACGCGUGAGUAACCUGCCUUGGAGUGGGGAAUAACAGCUGGAAACAGCUGCUAAUACCGCAUGAUGCAGUUGGGUCGCAUGGCUCUGACUGCCAAAGAUUUAUCGCUCUGAGAUGGACUCGCGUCUGAUUAGCUGGUUGGCGGGGUAACGGCCCACCAAGGCGACGAUCAGUAGCCGGACUGAGAGGUUGGCCGGCCACAUUGGGACUGAGACACGGCCCAGACUCCUACGGGAGGCAGCAGUGGGGAAUAUUGGGCAAUGGGCGCAAGCCUGACCCAGCAACGCCGCGUGAAGGAAGAAGGCUUUCGGGUUGUAAACUUCUUUUCUCAGGGACGAAGCAAGUGACGGUACCUGAGGAAUAAGCCACGGCUAACUACGUGCCAGCAGCCGCGGUAAUACGUAGGUGGCAAGCGUUAUCCGGAUUUACUGGGUGUAAAGGGCGUGUAGGCGGG
Molecule: ribosomal RNA, 574 nt
Filed under: uncultured bacterium
Lineage: Bacteria
Description: bacterial SSU rRNA
Rfam family: Bacterial small subunit ribosomal RNA
Source: RNAcentral